UUAAAGUUGGCUUUUGAAAGCAUCGUUGUUUUACCCUUCUUCAUCAACACCAUGAAAAGUGAACUGGAACUUGUGGUCUGCGUGAUUUGUUGAACUAGAAGACCAUGGAAAAAUGGCGGAGAUAUUCCCAAGUCACUUCUGAUUGUGCUGAGAGCUCAACAGUGCCAAACUUUGACAAAUUGACAUUCGCCAGUUGGCCUCAUUAAAUUCCAUUGCUGUCUGCCUAAUAAUGUCAGUGACCAAGAUUGCAGAUGGUCUCCUUGAUAUCCAGGAAGUAGCUUCCGGUUUUGACCAUCGAGAGGAACUGGACAACUGUGUUGAAACUCCACUGGCGUUGGGACAGGAUUCCUCUGUCUGAUGCAGCUGAAAGUCUUCUCCAGGCAAUCCUCGGACAAGCUACUGUUGAGAAUGCACUUCUGUACCUGGCUUACUUCCAGGAUUAAUGUUGCAGCAGUCACCACUACGUUUUGAACUGGUAUCCAGCUGCCCUUGUGACCAAUCUUCAGGCCACGAAAAAGAUGGAAGGUGUCCCAAUGCAAGUUUGUGGCUUUCUCUAACUCAUUCUCUUUCAAUCUGCUUAGGGCAAUUACGACAAGGUCGAACCGGUGGUCUACUUCCUCAAGGAACCAUGAUGUUUUCAGGGAGGACUGUGACCGUUUCUCCUCCUCAACCAGGUUUUUCAGGACAGCACUGGUCACUCUACUAAAGACGUGCAUGGCAGGUUGGACACUGAAAUGGGAGACCAAGGAUGCUGAGGACGAGAAAGGUGUACAGUAAGAUGAACAGCCUUCAGCUUCAACACCUCCCCUAACAUUCCUGGCUC
Molecule: long non-coding RNA, 823 nt
Organism: Alosa sapidissima (American shad)
Lineage: Eukaryota; Metazoa; Chordata; Actinopteri; Clupeiformes; Clupeidae
Exons: 4
Source: RefSeq, a predicted model, not a curated record